This 4401-nucleotide long non-coding RNA is filed under the name Homo sapiens (human). RNAcentral's name for it is "HSALNT0333758". Lineage: Eukaryota; Metazoa; Chordata; Mammalia; Primates; Hominidae. The record is from RNAcentral.
ACUCAACACCGCAAGAUUUCAAAAGGGAAAUUCCUCCAGGGCUGAGUCACAGGGAAGAAAGCGAUUUCCUCCGCCUCUUCCAAAGCGGUAGGUUUCCUUCCUCCGCCUGCCUCUUAAAUAACGUGGUAUCUCGCAGUUUGGCUGAAACCUGAAUUAAAUGCAAUGCUUUUUUGACUUUUACUUUCUCCCAGAACAACAGUUGUGAUAUGAUCUGUUUUGGGGCCCUUCCUGCGCUCCGCCCUGGGCCAGAGUAUGUAAAGCUCGUGGGUCUCUGUGUGUGUCUGAGCAGCUGCUCUGCCAAGACUCCACACAGCUGUGUGUGUGUCGGACCCAAGGCCUUGGUGGCAUGGGCUCAUGAGGGAAUCUCCUGAUCCACCAGUCGCAAAGAUCCAUGGGAGAAGCAUGGUUUCCUGAGGUCGCACCAUCACUCACUUCUUCCCUUGGCUGGGAGUGGGGGUUCCUUUGGCUCUGUGUCGCUCCCAGGGGGGCUGUCGCCCCAUCCAGCUUUUCUUUGUUCUCUGUGGGUCGAGUUGUUUUCCUGAUGAGUCCCAAUGCAAGUACCUGGAUAUUUCAGUUGAAGAUGCUGUAUUCACUUGCCUCUUUUGUUCCUCUCUGUGAGUGCUGUGGACCAUAGCUGUUUCUAAUCAGCCAUCUUGGCCUGGCAAUCUACAGUAGUAAAUGUUAACAUUGGAUAGUGUGAUUCUUCCUACUUUACUAUUCUUUUUAAAUAUUGUUUUAGCAAUUUUUGUUCUUUUGACUUUACAUAUAGAUUUUAGGACCAGUUUGUCUAUAUCUACAAAAGGAAGCUUUUGAUAGGAAAUGUGUUAAACCUAUAGACCGAUUUGAAGAGAAUUGACAUCUUUGUUGUCUUCCAGUUAAAUGACACUGCAUGUCUCUCCGUUUGUUUAGAUCUAUUUUUAUUUUUUCAUCAGCAUUUUGUAGUUUUCAGCCUGCUGAUUCUGUACAUAUUUUGUUAGAUUUAUACUUAAAUAUUUAAUUUUCUUUGGAGUGGUUGUAAAUAGUACUGUGCUUCAGUUUUGGCUUCCUACUUUUUAUUGCUAGCAUAGAGGAAUACAAUUGAUUACUAUUCUGUAACAUUGCUAAAAAUGUGUUUGAAGUUUCCUCGGAGUAUUAUCUCUGGAUAUAAGCUUCUGGGCUGAUAGGUCUUAUUUUUUAGCAGUUGAAAAAUGUUGUGCUACUUUCUUCCUGUUUUGGGUUUUUUGGUGAGAAAUCCACUGUAAUUCUAAUUGUUGUUCUCCUAUAAAUAAUGCUUUUUCUUUCAGCAUGUUUUCAAGAUUUUUUUAAGUUUUCAGAAAUUUGAUUAUGAUGUAUCUGAGCAUAGAUUUCUUUGAGUUUAUUAUAUUAGAAGUUGCUUUAGCUUUUUGAAUUACACAUUUAUGUCUUUCAUUAAGUUUGAGAAGUCUUCAAUCAUUAUUUUGUUAAAAAGUUUUUUCAGACCAGCCUGGGCAACAUGACAAAACACUGUCUCUACAAAAAAAAUAAAAAAAAUUAGCUGGUCAUGGUGGCAUGUGUCAGUGGUCCCAGCUACUCGGGAGGCUAAGGCAGGAGGAUCACCUAAGCCUGGGAGUUUGAGGCUGCAGUGAGCUGUGAUCAUGCCACCGCACUCCAGCCUGUGUAACAGAGUGAGAGCCUGUCUCAAUUUUUUUUUUUUUUAGCACCCUAUGCCGUCUCCUUCUGUAAUUCCAGUCACAGGAAUGUUAGAGACUUUGUUAUUGUCCCACAGAUACUUGUUGCUCUGUUCGUUUUUUCUUUUCUUUCUUUCUUUUUUUUUUUUAUUAUACUUUAAGUUCUGGGUUACAUGUGCAGAAUGUACAUUUUUCUUACAUAGGUAUACAUGUGCCCUGGUGGUUUGUUGCACCCAUCAACCUGUCACCUAUAUUAGGUAUUUCUCCUAAUGUUAUCCCUCCCCUAACUCCCCACUCUCUGACAGGCCCCGGUGUGUGAUGUUCCCCUCCCUGUGUCCGUAUGUUCUCAUUGUUCAACUCCCACUUAUAAGCAAGAACAUGCGGUGUUUGGUUUUCUGAUCUUGUGAUAGUUUGCUGAAAAUGAUGGUUUCCAGCUUUAUCCAUGUUCCUGCAAAGGACACAAACUCAUCCUUUUUUAUGGCUGCAUAGUAUUCCAUGAUAUAUACGUGCCACAUUUUCUAAAUCCAGUCUAUCAUUGAUGGACAUUUGGGUUGGUUCCAAGUCUUUGCUACUGUGAAUAGUGCCACAAUAAACAUGUGUGCAUGUGUCUUUACUAUAGAAUGAUUUAUAAUCAUUUGGGUAUAUGCCCAGUAUUGGGAUUGCUGGGUCAAAUGGUAUUUCCAGUUCUAGAUCCUUGAGGAAUCGCCACACUGUCUUCCACAGUGGUUGAACUAAUUUACACUCCCACCAACAGUGUAAAAGCAUUCCUAUUUUUCCACAACCUCUCCAGCACCUGUUGUUUCCUGACUUUUUAAUGAUCGCCAUUCUAACUGGUGUGAGAUGGAAUCUCAUUGUGGUUUUGAUUUGCAUUUCUCUGGUGACCAGUGAUGAUGAGCAUUUUUUUCAUAUGUCUGUUGGCUGCAUAAAUGUCUUCUUUUGAGAAGUGUCUGUUCAUAUCCUUUGCCCACUUUUUGAUGGGUUUUUUCUUGUAAAUUUAAGUUCUUUGUAGAUUCUGGAUAUUAGCCCUUUGUCACAUGGAUAGACUGCAAAAAUUUUCUCCCAUUCUGUAGGUUGCCUGUUCACUCUGAUGAUACUUUCUUUUGCUGUGCAGAAGCUCUUUAGUUUAAUUAGAUCCCGUUUGUCAAUUUUGGCUUUUGUUGCCAUUGCUUUUAGUGUUUUGGACAUGAAGUCUUUGCCCAUGCCUCUGUCCUGAAUGGUAUUGCCCAGAUUUUCUUCUAGGAGUUUUAUGGUCCUAAGUCUUAUGUUGAAGUUUUUGAUCCAUUUUGAGUUGAUUUUUGUAAAAGGUGUAAGGAAGGGGCCCAGUUUCAGUUUUCUGCAUAUGGCUAGCCAGUUUUCCCAACACCAUUUACUAAAUUGGGAAUCUUUUCCCCAUUGCUUGUGUGUGUCAGGUUUGUCAAAGAUCAGAUGGUUGUAGCUGUGUGGUGUUAUUUCUGACGCCUCCGUUCUGUUCCAUUGGUCUAUAUAUCUGUUUUGGUACCAGUACUAUGCUGUUUUGGGUACUGUAGUCUUGUAGUAUAGUUUGAAAUCAGGUAGCAUGAUACCUCUAGCUUUGUUCUUCUUGCCCAGGAUUGUCUUGGCUACGCAGGCUCUUUUUUGGUUCCAUAUGAAGUUUAAAGUAGUUUUUUUCCAAUUCUGUGAAGAAAGUCAGUGGUAGCUUCAUGGGAAUAGCAUUGAAUUUAUAAAUUACUUUGGGCUGUGUAGCCAUUUUCAUGAUAUUGAUUCUUCCUAUCCAUGAACAUGGAAUGUUUUUCCAUUUGUUUGUGUCCUCUCUUAUUUCCUUGAGCAGUGGUUUGUAGUUCUACUUGAAGAGGUCCUUCACAUCCCUUGUAAGUUGUAUUCCUAGGUAUUUUAUUCUCUUAGUAGCAAUUGUGAAUGGGAGUUCACUCAUGAUUUGGCUCUCUGUCUAUUAUUGGUGUACAGGAAUGCUUGUGAUUUUUGCACAUUGAUUUUGUAUCCUGAGACUUUGCUGAAGUUGCUUAUCAGCUUAAGGAGGUUUUGGGCUGAGACGAUGGGGUUUUCUAAAUAUACAAUCAUGUCUUCUGCAAACAGAGAAAAUUUGAUUUCCUCUCUUCCUAUUUGAAUACUCUUUAUUGCUUUCUCUUGCCUGAUUGCCCUGGCCAGAACUUCCAAUACUAUGUUGAAUAGGAGUGGUGAGAGAGGGCAUCUUUGUCUUGUGCCGGUUUUCAAAGGGAAUGCUUCCAGUUUUUGCCCAUUCAGUAUGAUAUUGGCUGUGGGUUUGUCAUAAAUAGCUCUUGUUAUUUUGAGAUAUGUUCCGUCGAUACCUAGUUUAUUGAGAGUUUUUGGCAUGAAGGGGUGUUGAAUUUUAUCAAAGGCCUUUUCCGUAUCUAUUGAGAUAAUCAUGUGGUUUUUGUUAUUGGUUCUGUUUAUGUGAUGGAUUACAUUUAUUGAUUUGCGUAUGUUGAACCAGCCUCGCAUCCCAGGGAUGAAGCCAACUUGAUCGUGGUAGAUAAGCUUUUUUAUGUGCUGCUGCAUUCGGUUUGCCAGUAUUUUAUUGAGGAUUUUCACAUUGAUGUUCAUCAGGGAUAUUGGCCUGAAAUUUUCCUUUUUUGUUGUGUCUCUGCCAGGUUUUGGUAUCAGGAUGAUGCUGGCCUCAUAAAAUGAGUUAGGGAGGAGUCCCUAUUUUUCUAUUGUUUGGAAUAGUUUCAGAAGGUAUGGUACCAGUUCCUCUUUGUACCUCUGGUAGAAUUCGCCUGUGAAUCCAUCUGCUCCUGGG